Molecule: non-coding RNA, 27 nt
Filed under: Mus musculus (house mouse)
Lineage: Eukaryota; Metazoa; Chordata; Mammalia; Rodentia; Muridae
Source: RNAcentral
UCAAUGUCAAAGCUGCUGUGAGUUCUU